CGCUGUGGUCCCAGGCUUCCCACACUUCAGUGUUUAAUGACUCUGAGGCCGCCUGCACAAAGGAAGUGUGCCCCAUUGCACAAAGAUUGAGUGACCAACCCCCCCUUCGAGCCCCACUAACAACACAUGCACGCACACACCCAGGAAAACAGAGCUGUCAACAGGGCUUCCAGGCACACCAUCUGGAUGGAUUGUAUGCCAUUGUCGGCCGAUCAAGCGCGGGAGAUGUUUACCGUGAGAAUUGGAGAGGCUGAAAUAGAGACAGAAAGUUAAAUAAGAAGAAUAGGGAGUGUGUGUGUGGAGGGUGGGAAACUUUCUGGAUAGGAUGAUGAACUUUUUUUAAGAAUCUGUGAAUAAAAAGGUGCAAAACUCUUACACUGUUUGACACGAAAAGUUUAAGAAAUUGAGAAAAAAGUGAAAACCACUUCACUUUCUCAGCUUGUUGCAACAGAAAAGGGAUUAUUCUAUAUUAAAGACUAAUAUAACAGGUACUAACAACACUUAGAUGCAGAUCCAGUCUGUGAUGAUGCUUUUUGUUGCCCUCACAUAGAUACAUUUUUGGAAAUGUGAUCUAAAUAUUUAGGUUGCCUAUCUGGAAACUCUGCCCACCAAUGGACGUCUUUCUCCUCCAGGAAGAACGUCCUCAGACAGAUGUUGUCCUCCACGUUCCCACCACAUAUCAUCCCAGUGGAAACAAUAACAAGGAAAUCUCCCUCAACAAGGGGCAAGCAAUGGGCCCCUCCCACCUGUUUGUUUGGAUUGGGGCCAUUGUACCCCAAUGAAUUCAACUAAUUCAUUCACAUCCUAUUGUCAUAAUGCUGCUUUGUGAUUGGCCAAACACUGUGAGAACCAACAUCACAUUAAAUCAGUGGGAAAGUUGGCAUAAGUAUAUAAAUGAGGGAGGUCUCUGUGGGUAAAAUCAUAACCCUGAACGUUUUCUUGUAACCCACACGGGCCUGGACUCACGGGACGCCAUCCGACUGCAUAUUCGCCAUGAGGGAUCAACACACAACCCUGUGUAAGAUGAUGAUUUUGGAAAGGAAGUGCACAGACAGAGCAGUGAGGCUCCGCUCCACGUUAGAGAGCCAUCUAAGCACUGGAAUGAGCAGCUCUGACGUGUGGGACAAGACUGUCUCCUUUUUCACAGUGAAGAAGGCCUUCAUUUUCCAUAAUGGCUACACCAAAUCCUCCAGAGAGGCCAUGAGGCUGUUCCCCUCACCUUCUGAGGAUGUGUCGCCUUUGUGUUGCCAGUAAGAAGUGCACCGAAAGAGGGUUGAAAUACGAAGAGGAAAACAAAAUCUAGGCAUUUUUAUAAACUUUUUUCUCCAAAUGUCUUCUUAAGCACAAAUGGUGGAAAAGAUGGGAGUUCUCAUUAACUGUGACUACCUGCACCGUGAUCCUAUUGGUCAUUGCACAGGCCCUAGAAAUGUGCAUGUUAUGCCUUAAAUCUAAGUACUUCUUAGAACUUUAAGAUCAUGUUAUUACAGUUUUAUUAAACUGAAAGUCAUAUUCCUUUGUUUAAAGGGUAAAAGUUAAUUUUAUGCCAAUGCAUAUUUUGUAAAUGUUUAAGAUUUUGUCAGUCAUGUAUAAAAUUUGUUGCUGAAAGCCAUAAGUGAAAAGUGCAAUGUGCUUUCCUGUGCAAUUUUAAGUAAAAUGACAUGUUUUCCCAU
Long non-coding RNA from Haplochromis burtoni (Burton's mouthbrooder), 1670 nucleotides. RefSeq lists it as uncharacterized. The transcript has 2 exons. The record is from RefSeq and is a predicted model, not a curated record. Lineage: Eukaryota; Metazoa; Chordata; Actinopteri; Cichliformes; Cichlidae.